Molecule: long non-coding RNA, 444 nt
Filed under: Bos taurus (domestic cattle)
Lineage: Eukaryota; Metazoa; Chordata; Mammalia; Artiodactyla; Bovidae
Description: long non-coding RNA NONBTAT021618
Source: RNAcentral
CCUCGGGGAGAUUUUAGCUCAGUCUUAAAUGGAAAGAAAUAAAGUGAUGGCAGUCCCAUUUAUAUACACCAAACACUCUCCCCUUAAAUUAUACAUAAUUUGAAAUGAAUCCAUGAUAGAGCUCUUAUAAAGUUUAAUCCUUCUCCCAUAUUUUUUAAGAUAGUCAAUUUACUUGUUGCUGCUAAAUUGAUAAUUUUUAAAAAAUAUUUCUUUCUAUGUGUUUUAAAAUGUAUGAUCACCCAGUAUGACAAUAACUUUUGGAAUCUUUACUUUUUACAUUUUUUUAAGUAAAAAUUGUUUAAACUUUCUGAAGUUUCAGGAACUUGUAAAAGUUUACUAACAGGAAAGAAACGGCCGUCUAUCUAGGAUAAGAUACGGUUAAAUAAACCAUCUUCCAAAAACUGGCUUCCUACCCUAGAAUUCCUGAGAAUGCUUGCAAAUUUU